AAAAAUUAAAAAAAAAAAAAAGAGAUCUUUUUGAGUAAAAGUGGGAAAUUUAAUAUAUAUCUUACAGAAAACAAACAACUUUCAAAGAUUUUUCGUUUUUAAAGAGGGGGGAAACAAAUCUGCUUGGUUGCAGAGAAAUCGCGAGAAAAUGAAAUUUCAUGACUUCAAGUCCGCAUAAAUAGAAUAUCAAUUUGCAAAAUGGAACUUUAAAAAAGAAGUCACCGAAUCAAACUACUCAUAGAGAGCAAAAAAAUUAAAACUUUUCAUUUCCUUUGAUACGCAUACGCCACAGAGGAAGCAACAGAGGACUAAAAAUGAAGAAAAAUGAGAAAUCGGAAGCGGACCUAGAAGCAACGGAUCAUGGCCGAUACGAAACCGAGAGACCCGAUCCGAUGUGUCCGGAAAACUGCUUUUCAGUAGAGUAGAAGAGCAUUUAAUUACAAUCUCUUCCAACUUUGAAAUUGAUGGACCUUAGCUACUCUUGUAGCCUGACCAGGGUUCCGAACUUGUCUAGCAUUGCCCCAGAUCUCGAGUUUUUGUAUUUGAAUGGCUGUCCUAGUUUGGCUGAAAUUCCCUCUCUUCAAAAUCUAAG
RNAcentral lists this unclassified non-coding RNA (592 nucleotides) under Hevea brasiliensis (rubber tree). Lineage: Eukaryota; Viridiplantae; Streptophyta; Magnoliopsida; Malpighiales; Euphorbiaceae. The record is from RNAcentral.